GUUAAGCGACUAAGCGUACACGGUGGAUGCCCUGGCAGUCAGAGGCGAUGAAGGACGUGCUAAUCUGCGAUAAGCGUCGGUAAGGUGAUAUGAACCGUUAUAACCGGCGAUUUCCGAAUGGGGAAACCCAGUGUGAUUCGUCACACUAUCAUUAACUGAAUCCAUAGGUUAAUGAGGCGAACCGGGGGAACUGAAACAUCUAAGUACCCCGAGGAAAAGAAAUCAACCGAGAUUCCCCCAGUAGCGGCGAGCGAACGGGGAGCAGCCCAGAGCCUGAAUCAGUGUGUGUGUUAGUGGAAGCGUCUGGAAAGGCGCGCGAUACAGGGUGACAGCCCCGUACACAAAAAUGCACAUGCUGUGAGCUCGAUGAGUAGGGCGGGACACGUGGUAUCCUGUCUGAAUAUGGGGGGACCAUCCUCCAAGGCUAAAUACUCCUGACUGACCGAUAGUGAACCAGUACCGUGAGGGAAAGGCGAAAAGAACCCCGGCGAGGGGAGUGAAAAAGAACCUGAAACCGUGUACGUACAAGCAGUGGGAGCACGCUUAGGCGUGUGACUGCGUACCUUUUGUAUAAUGGGUCAGCGACUUAUAUUCUGUAGCAAGGUUAACCGAAUAGGGGAGCCGAAGGGAAACCGAGUCUUAACUGGGCGUUAAGUUGCAGGGUAUAGACCCGAAACCCGGUGAUCUAGCCAUGGGCAGGUUGAAGGUUGGGUAACACUAACUGGAGGACCGAACCGACUAAUGUUGAAAAAUUAGCGGAUGACUUGUGGCUGGGGGUGAAAGGCCAAUCAAACCGGGAGAUAGCUGGUUCUCCCCGAAAGCUAUUUAGGUAGCGCCUCGUGAAUUCAUCUCCGGGGGUAGAGCACUGUUUCGGCAAGGGGGUCAUCCCGACUUACCAACCCGAUGCAAACUGCGAAUACCGGAGAAUGUUAUCACGGGAGACACACGGCGGGUGCUAACGUCCGUCGUGAAGAGGGAAACAACCCAGACCGCCAGCUAAGGUCCCAAAGUCAUGGUUAAGUGGGAAACGAUGUGGGAAGGCCCAGACAGCCAGGAUGUUGGCUUAGAAGCAGCCAUCAUUUAAAGAAAGCGUAAUAGCUCACUGGUCGAGUCGGCCUGCGCGGAAGAUGUAACGGGGCUAAACCAUGCACCGAAGCUGCGGCAGCGACGCUGAUGCGUUGUUGGGUAGGGGAGCGUUCUGUAAGCCUGCGAAGGUGUGCUGUGAGGCAUGCUGGAGGUAUCAGAAGUGCGAAUGCUGACAUAAGUAACGAUAAAGCGGGUGAAAAGCCCGCUCGCCGGAAGACCAAGGGUUCCUGUCCAACGUUAAUCGGGGCAGGGUGAGUCGACCCCUAAGGCGAGGCCGAAAGGCGUAGUCGAUGGGAAACAGGUUAAUAUUCCUGUACUUGGUGUUACUGCGAAGGGGGGACGGAGAAGGCUAUGUUGGCCGGGCGACGGUUGUCCCGGUUUAAGCGUGUAGGCUGGUUUUCCAGGCAAAUCCGGAAAAUCAAGGCUGAGGCGUGAUGACGAGGCACUACGGUGCUGAAGCAACAAAUGCCCUGCUUCCAGGAAAAGCCUCUAAGCAUCAGGUAACAUCAAAUCGUACCCCAAACCGACACAGGUGGUCAGGUAGAGAAUACCAAGGCGCUUGAGAGAACUCGGGUGAAGGAACUAGGCAAAAUGGUGCCGUAACUUCGGGAGAAGGCACGCUGAUAUGUAGGUGAAGCGACUUGCUCGUGGAGCUGAAAUCAGUCGAAGAUACCAGCUGGCUGCAACUGUUUAUUAAAAACACAGCACUGUGCAAACACGAAAGUGGACGUAUACGGUGUGACGCCUGCCCGGUGCCGGAAGGUUAAUUGAUGGGGUUAGCGCAAGCGAAGCUCUUGAUCGAAGCCCCGGUAAACGGCGGCCGUAACUAUAACGGUCCUAAGGUAGCGAAAUUCCUUGUCGGGUAAGUUCCGACCUGCACGAAUGGCGUAAUGAUGGCCAGGCUGUCUCCACCCGAGACUCAGUGAAAUUGAACUCGCUGUGAAGAUGCAGUGUACCCGCGGCAAGACGGAAAGACCCCGUGAACCUUUACUAUAGCUUGACACUGAACAUUGAGCCUUGAUGUGUAGGAUAGGUGGGAGGCUUUGAAGUGUGGACGCCAGUCUGCAUGGAGCCGACCUUGAAAUACCACCCUUUAAUGUUUGAUGUUCUAACGUUGACCCGUAAUCCGGGUUGCGGACAGUGUCUGGUGGGUAGUUUGACUGGGGCGGUCUCCUCCUAAAGAGUAACGGAGGAGCACGAAGGUUGGCUAAUCCUGGUCGGACAUCAGGAGGUUAGUGCAAUGGCAUAAGCCAGCUUGACUGCGAGCGUGACGGCGCGAGCAGGUGCGAAAGCAGGUCAUAGUGAUCCGGUGGUUCUGAAUGGAAGGGCCAUCGCUCAACGGAUAAAAGGUACUCCGGGGAUAACAGGCUGAUACCGCCCAAGAGUUCAUAUCGACGGCGGUGUUUGGCACCUCGAUGUCGGCUCAUCACAUCCUGGGGCUGAAGUAGGUCCCAAGGGUAUGGCUGUUCGCCAUUUAAAGUGGUACGCGAGCUGGGUUUAGAACGUCGUGAGACAGUUCGGUCCCUAUCUGCCGUGGGCGCUGGAGAACUGAGGGGGGCUGCUCCUAGUACGAGAGGACCGGAGUGGACGCAUCACUGGUGUUCGGGUUGUCAUGCCAAUGGCACUGCCCGGUAGCUAAAUGCGGAAGAGAUAAGUGCUGAAAGCAUCUAAGCACGAAACUUGCCCCGAGAUGAGUUCUCCCUGACUCCUUGAGAGUCCUGAAGGAACGUUGAAGACGACGACGUUGAUAGGCCGGGUGUGUAAGCGCAGCGAUGCGUUGAGCUAACCGGUACUAAUGAACCGUGAGG
RNAcentral lists this ribosomal RNA (2894 nucleotides) under Escherichia coli. RNAcentral's name for it is "partial 23S ribosomal RNA". It matches the Rfam family "Bacterial large subunit ribosomal RNA". The record is from RNAcentral. Lineage: Bacteria; Pseudomonadati; Pseudomonadota; Gammaproteobacteria; Enterobacterales; Enterobacteriaceae.